UACGAAGGGGGCUAGCGUUGCUCGGAAUCACUGGGCGUAAAGCGUGCGUAGACGGCUAUCUAAGUCGGGUGUGAAAGCCCCGGGCUCAACCUGGGAAUUGCAUUCGAGACUGAAUAGCUAGGGUGCGGUAGAGGGAAGCGGAAUUUCCGGUGUAGCGGUGAAAUGCGUAGAUAUCGGAAGGAACAUCAGUGGCGAAAGCGGCUUCCUGGACCAACACCGACGUUCAGGCACGAAAGCGUGGGGAGCAAACAGG
Molecule: ribosomal RNA, 253 nt
Filed under: uncultured bacterium
Lineage: Bacteria
Description: partial 16S ribosomal RNA
Rfam family: Bacterial small subunit ribosomal RNA
Source: RNAcentral